Molecule: ribosomal RNA, 481 nt
Filed under: uncultured bacterium
Lineage: Bacteria
Description: bacterial SSU rRNA
Rfam family: Bacterial small subunit ribosomal RNA
Source: RNAcentral
GACGAACGCUGGCGGCGUGCUUAACACAUGCAAGUCGAGCGGUAAGGCCCUUCGGGGUACACGAGCGGCGAACGGGUGAGUAACACGUGGGUCAUCUGCCUCGCACUCUGGGAUAAGCCUGGGAAACUGGGUCUAAUACCGGAUAUGACCAUGGGAUGCAUGUCUUGUGGUGGAAAGAUUUAUUGGUGCGAGAUGGGCCCGCGGCCUAUCAGCUUGUUGGUGGGGUAAUGGCCUACCAAGGCGACGACGGGUAGCCGGCCUGAGAGGGCGAUCGGCCACACUGGGACUGAGACACGGCCCAGACUCCUACGGGAGGCAGCAGUGGGGAAUAUUGCACAAUGGGCGAAAGCCUGAUGCAGCGACGCCGCGUGAGGGAUGACGGCCUUCGGGUUGUAAACCUCUUUCGACAGGGACGAAGCGCAAGUGACGGUACCUGUAGAAGAAGCACCGGCCAACUACGUGCCAGCAGCCGCAGUAAAAC